Molecule: ribosomal RNA, 497 nt
Filed under: uncultured bacterium
Lineage: Bacteria
Description: partial 16S ribosomal RNA
Rfam family: Bacterial small subunit ribosomal RNA
Source: RNAcentral
GAUGAACGCUGGCGGCGUGCCUAAUACAUGCAAGUCGAGCGAACGGACGAGAAGCUUGCUUCUCUGAUGUUAGCGGCGGACGGGUGAGUAACACGUGGAUAACCUACCUAUAAGACUGGGAUAACUUCGGGAAACCGGAGCUAAUACCGGAUGAUAUUUUGAACCGCAUGGUUCAAAAGUGAAAGACGGUCUUGCUGUCACUUAUAGAUGGAUCCGCGCUGCAUUAGCUAGUUGGUAAGGUAACGGCUUACCAAGGCAACGAUGCAUAGCCGACCUGAGAGGGUGAUCGGCCACACUGGAACUGAGACACGGUCCAGACUCCUACGGGAGGCAGCAGUAGGGAAUCUUCGGCAAUGGGCGAAAGCCUGACGGAGCAACGCCGCGUGAGUGAUGAAGGUCUUCGGAUCGUAAAACUCUGUUAUUAGGGAAGAACAGAUGUGGAAGUAACUGUGGACAUCUUGACGGUACCUAAUCAGAAAGCCACGGCUAACUACGUG